AUGGCGACAUAGAGCGGAACCCGAAAACCUAGUCUCAGUUCGGAUUGGAGUCUGCAACCCGACUCCAUGAAGCUGGAUUCGCUAGUAAUCGCGCAUCAGCCACGGCGCGGUGAAUACGUUCCCGGGCCUUGUACACACCGCCCGUCAAGCCAUGGAAGCCGGGAGUGCCUGAAGUGCGUGAGCGCAAGCAGCGCCCUAAGGUAAAACCGGUGACUGGGGCUAAGUCGUAACAAGGUACC
RNAcentral lists this ribosomal RNA (239 nucleotides) under uncultured bacterium. Its description in RNAcentral is "partial 16S ribosomal RNA". It matches the Rfam family "Bacterial small subunit ribosomal RNA", at positions 1254 to 1500 of the family's 1533-position model. The record is from RNAcentral.